CUACGGGGGGCUGCAGUGAGGAAUUUUGCGCAAUGGGGGCAACCCUGACGCAGCAACGCCGCGUGAGUGAAGAAGGCCUUUGGGUCGUAAAGCUCUGUCAACUGGGAAGAAGUUAAGAUUGUUUAAUAGAUGAUCUUAUUGACGGUACCAGUGGAGGAAGCGCCGGCUAACUCCGUGCCAGCAGCCGCGGUAACACGGGGGGCGCAAGCGUUAUUCGGAAUUAUUGGGCGUAAAGGGCGCGCAGGCGGUCUUGUCAGUCAGGUGUGAAAGCCCGGGGCUCAACCCUGGAAGUGCACUUGAAACAGCAAGACUUGAAUACGGGAGAGGAAAGCGGAAUUCCUGGUGUAGAGGUGAAAUUCGUAGAUAUCAGGAGGAACACCGAUGGCGAAGGCAGCUUUCUGGACCGAUAUUGACGCUGAGGCGCGAAGGCGUGGGUAGCGAACGGGAUUAGAUACCCGCGUAGUC
RNAcentral lists this ribosomal RNA (465 nucleotides) under uncultured bacterium. RNAcentral's name for it is "partial 16S ribosomal RNA". It matches the Rfam family "Bacterial small subunit ribosomal RNA", at positions 339 to 795 of the family's 1533-position model. The record is from RNAcentral.